UGAAGGAAGUGGUAUUGGUGAGGUUGAAUCUGAUGAUUGGAUUUACUUAUGAUACGAUGGUAAACCCUUCUCAGAUUGAGCCGCGCCAAUAUCACUGUCUUCUAU
Molecule: microRNA precursor, 105 nt
Filed under: Musa acuminata subsp. malaccensis (wild Malaysian banana)
Lineage: Eukaryota; Viridiplantae; Streptophyta; Magnoliopsida; Zingiberales; Musaceae
Source: RNAcentral